GUUCACGAAGUGCGCCACAUGUUGCAUGGACUAAACCAACAAAUCAUCAAUUGAUAUCCCACAAAAAUGUAUUAAACUUGCUGCUGAUCACAUUAGUGAUGCACUUACAGCGGUGUUCAAUAACUCUCUUAAACAGGGAAUUAUGCCUGACAUUUGAAAGAUAUCUAGAAUAACGCCUGUAGAUAAAGGUGGUGAUAUCACUGACCCAUCAAAUUUUAAACCUAU
Paramuricea clavata is the source of this 225-nucleotide non-coding RNA. The record is from the annotation of a GenBank genome assembly. Lineage: Eukaryota; Metazoa; Cnidaria; Anthozoa; Malacalcyonacea; Plexauridae.